GAGUUAGAAAUGUAGUUGGUGAAUUUCACUAUAAAUAUUUGGUUCUCCUUAUCAUACGAGUUGCAGCCACCUGGUGGUGUAUUCUUGCAGCUGCAGUAGGUCAGGUCUUUGCACACGAACUAUGCUUCCUCCAGCCAGAAAGAGUUUACUUCGCUGGAGAUAUGAAUGUACGACAGCAGCUGCAUGAUGUUGUUUGCACUUAAUGUUUCACCAGCAGAAAGAGUUUACUUCGCUGGAGAUAUGAAUGUACGACAGCAGCUGCAUGAUGUUGUGUGCACUUAAUGUUUCACCAGAAUAAAUGCGAGUUGGAGCCAACCUUUGUCGCCUUUCCUUGCCUUCGA
Long non-coding RNA from Engraulis encrasicolus (European anchovy), 341 nucleotides. RefSeq lists it as uncharacterized. The transcript has 3 exons. NCBI's taxonomy places the organism in Eukaryota, Metazoa, Chordata, Actinopteri, Clupeiformes, Engraulidae. The record is from RefSeq and is a predicted model, not a curated record.